CGUAAAUGAUCUUGUCUUAAGGUUUCCUAGUCACCGAGCAAGAAACAAAAAUUCCUCACAAAUGCCUCGUCCAAGCAUCAAGGUAAUUUUAAUUACCUCUUUGUAAUGUACCGUCUCUUUGGGCUACUUAGGUUCCAGGUCACCUGAGAUAAACACAUAAAUGCCACUAGAAUUGUUUAAGCCCAGUCACUUAAGCUAAAUGAAAAGAUAGAAAACAUCCCUGAUGCUUAAGAAUCCUAAUCACUCAAGCUAAAUGAAAUGCCAAAAGAAAGUCCUUGAUGCUAGAAUGCAAAUGAGCUUGUCCCACCUCGUGAAAUUACUCAGGUUUCUAUUCACUUGAGUUAAACACAAAUGCCUCAGGAAUUGUUUGAGAUUCUAGUCACUCAAGCUAAAUGAAACAACAAACGAUUAAAAAGAUGCAAAUGAUAAGGUUGUCUCACCUCUUUGGACUACUUGGGUUUCUAGUCACCCUAGUUAAACACAAAUGCCUCGUCCACUGCUUGCUAAACUGAAAACAAGGUAAUUUUAAUUACCUUUCUGAAAUAUUCCUGAUGACAGAACACAAACGAGCUAUAAGCAAGUGCAUUGUCCUAUGAAUGAGGUAAUUUUAUUUACCUCUCUGAAACAUUUUAAUGGCAGAACUUAAACGAGCUUGUCCCGUGGUUUCCUAUCAACGAGCUUGUCCCGUGGUUUCCUAUCAACGAGCUAUAUACAAAUGCCUCGUCCUCAAAACAAGGUAAUCUUAUUUACCUCGUUGAAAUGGCCUUGAUGCCAGAAUUUACAUGAUUCUCUAUUUGGAAUUGCAUGAGAUUCAAGUCACUCAAGCCAAAUGGUAAGGUUUUCUCACCUCUUUGGACUCCUCGUGUUUCUAGUUAAUCUCUUGGAAUUACUCGGUUCUAAGUGUAUGGAUAUAAGAAAUGAGGUACUUACGACAUUUAUACAGCAUGCGUGGCCUCAAGCUUAAAUACCACUUUCAUGAAUCUCUCAAAGUUCAUUCUUCCUCAUCUAAUUCAGGUGCAAUGGAGAAGUUUUAAACAAGCAUAAAGAUGUUCUCCUCCGGCUUUCAAAUAUCAAAGAUCAGUACAAGAGUUUCAGAUAGACAUGAUCCUGAGGGUUCUCAAUAUUGUUGCUUCUGUAAGACAAAUUCGGGUGGCUCCUGAAGUUGUUGAAGUUGCGGUUCUGCACAUACCCUAGUCCAUUCACAAAGUUGUCCCUUACCUGAUCAUCAUUCUUAGAGAUGCGGUUUUGGACUUAGUGUAGAAAUGGUAUAAAAACGCUGAUCUACAUUCUGCCCAAGUUGUCAAUGACCCAGCUGGCAAUGACUUCAACCAGCGCGAAACUCUGUCCGCAAGUGAGAAUGGAAAGAGCUUUCACUUCAGAAAAUCACUUGGUAUCCCAUUUGACCGAGUCGUGCUGCAAAUCUCCUCAAAAUUAUUGAUGGGUCCAUCAGAAUUUCAGCAGAAAGUCCUUGGAAAAGAUGCUGCUUCACCAAUGAGAGCAACUGAGGUUUGAUCUCAAAUUCUUGCCUCUGAAUCGCUGGAGGAGCAAUUGCAGCUCUGUUUUGGUAAAAAGCAUGCAGAUUGUCCUUAUCUCCAACGGCAGGCUGUUGCUGCUCCCUGUCUUGCUGCGCUUUUUGCAGUUGCUCCAAUUGCUGUCGAAGCUAUUGCACCUCGACAGCCAUGUCAUCAUUGUUACAUUGAUCGCCUAUGUUGGCUGAAUUAGGCCUUCGACGUCUGUUUUCUUGCUCUACUCUUGCAAGCUCGGUGUUUGACAAGGUAAUAAGAUCCUCGGUGCAUUUUUUUCUUGUGGACCUGUUUGUCAUGCACCUGAAACACACACAGACAAGAUAAAAAGAGAGCAAGUUAGUAAGGUCUUAGUCU
Molecule: long non-coding RNA, 1880 nt
Organism: Eutrema salsugineum
Lineage: Eukaryota; Viridiplantae; Streptophyta; Magnoliopsida; Brassicales; Brassicaceae
Exons: 3
Source: RefSeq, a predicted model, not a curated record